UCUUAGAAAAUUUUAGGGUCAUACUCAUAAAAAAAUUAAAAUAAUCCACUUUUAUUUGGACAAUCAUUAUUUCUAAUAUUUGGGACAGAUCAUUGUUGGCUACCAAAAUAAAUUUUUUAAUGUUUUUUAACUGUUUUUGAAGUCACAAAUUCAUUACCGUAAUGUGUCCUAAGGGGAAAAAAAUUAUUUCGCCUCAAUUUAUUAUUAUGAAUAAUCAAGCAGGUUUAUAAAAAAAUAUUAUGAAUUUGUUUAAAUAUACAUAAAUUAAUAAAAUAUGAUAAUAUAUAAUAAUUUCCUGUUAAGUAAUUCAGAAUAUUGUAAUAAAAGUGAGUGUCCGGAGGUUCAACUCUCAUUACCGUUGCACCGUGUUCAAAGUCCUGUAAUAUUCACAGCACUUUUUUAAAUAAAGUUUUUCUGACCCAUGAUGCACCACAAAGAAGAGAAGACAAAGAUGGCUACAAGGUAUCAGAAGCGCAAGGAAAAAGGGUUGUUAAAGGCAGCUGCAGAUCUGACACCCAGGCAGCUGCAGAAACAGCGAAAAAAAUGGAGGGAAAAUUCUAAUCGAUAUAAUAAAAAGAAGCAAACAGUUAAACACAUACUAAAUGAAACCCCUCCCUCAGAUGACAGUGUGAAUCAAAUCAACCCUCAGCCUCAACCACAACUUUGUAAAAGAUUAAUCCAACCAAAGACCGUGAACUCUAAUCCAUCUGCAACAUCAACUCCAAAGCGGAAAAAAAAAACAGCCAAAUUAAGAGAAAAAC
Cyprinodon tularosa is the source of this 761-nucleotide long non-coding RNA. RefSeq lists it as uncharacterized. The transcript is spliced from 2 exons. The record is from RefSeq and is a predicted model, not a curated record. Lineage: Eukaryota; Metazoa; Chordata; Actinopteri; Cyprinodontiformes; Cyprinodontidae.